RNAcentral lists this ribosomal RNA (331 nucleotides) under uncultured bacterium. RNAcentral's name for it is "bacterial SSU rRNA". It matches the Rfam family "Bacterial small subunit ribosomal RNA", at positions 568 to 897 of the family's 1533-position model. The record is from RNAcentral.
CGUGUAGGCGGUUGGUUAAGUCGGAUGUGAAAGCCUGGGGCUCAGCCCCAGAAGUGCAUCCGAAACUAUCCAGCUAGAGCGCGAUAGAGGAGGGUGGAAUUCCUGGUGUAGCGGUGAAAUGCGUAGAUAUCAGGAGGAACACCGGCGGCGAAGGCGGCCCUCUGGAUCGUUGCUGACGCUGAGACGCGAAAGCGUGGGGAGCAAACAGGAUUAGAUACCCUGGUAGUCCACGCCUUAAACGAUGGGUACUAGGUGUUCGGGGUGUUGACCCCCUGAGUGCCGCAGUUAACGCAUUAAGUACCCCGCCUGGGGACUACGGCCGCAAGGUUAA